Molecule: ribosomal RNA, 468 nt
Filed under: uncultured bacterium
Lineage: Bacteria
Description: partial 16S ribosomal RNA
Rfam family: Bacterial small subunit ribosomal RNA
Source: RNAcentral
GACGAACGCUGGCGGCGUGCUUAACACAUGCAAGUCGAACGGAAAGGCCCUGCUUUUGUGGGGUGCUCGAGUGGCGAACGGGUGAGUAACACGUGAGUAACCUGCCCUUGACUUUGGGAUAACUUCAGGAAACUGGGGCUAAUACCGGAUAGGAGCUCCUGCUGCAUGGUGGGGGUUGGAAAGUUUCGGCGGUUGGGGAUGGACUCGCGGCUUAUCAGCUUGUUGGUGGGGUAGUGGCUUACCAAGGCUUUGACGGGUAGCCGGCCUGAGAGGGUGACCGGACACAUUGGGACUGAGAUACGGACCAGAAUCCAACGGGAGGCAGCAGUGGGGAAUAUUGCACAAUGGGCGGAAGCCUGAUGCAGAAACGCCGCGUGCGGGAUGACGGCCUUCGGGUUGUAAACAGCUUUCGACUGUGACGAAGCGUGAGUGACGGUAAUGGGUAAAGAAGCACCGGCUAACUACGUG